Molecule: long non-coding RNA, 2176 nt
Organism: Aquila chrysaetos chrysaetos
Lineage: Eukaryota; Metazoa; Chordata; Aves; Accipitriformes; Accipitridae
Exons: 3
Source: RefSeq, a predicted model, not a curated record
GAGGGGGAGUGACAGAGUGGCUCUGGUGGGCACCUGGCACCCAGCCAGGGUCAACCCACCACAGUCACACUAAUUGAUGAAGGCAUGUGAGAGGGUGAGAAUGUUUAUUCCACCAAGCUUAUAUGAUCAGGGACCUUGUCAGCUGGGAAACUACGGGAAAAAGCAGGAAGACAGAACCAAAGUAUUCAGAGACAUAGACCUGACAGAACAUGGAGACAAUGACAAGAAACAAACCUCGCCUGUUACACUAAUUGAUGAGCUAUCAAGAAACUACAGGUGCCACUUUCAGGAGCAGACUUUGCGAACCAGGAGAGAUGGUGGACACCGGACUGGCAAGGGGGUGGAAAUGCUUCCAGUCAGCCAUGCUGGUCCACCUGGCACGUUGGGAGCUGUAUUCUUUCUGCAUGGGGCUGCCAGAGAGCCAUGUGGGCCCCCUGGGCGUGCUGGGAGGCGUAGCACUGCUGCCAAAGUUGCUACCAAGGUUUGGUGCUGCAGCUCAGACUUUGGGCAUGCACAGUUCUUGGGAGUGGGCUCCGGCCCCUCCCUCAUGCCGUCAGCUCGGGCGCAUGUGCAGUGCCCAGGAGCAACGUGAGACACGACUUACCCAUUCUUCCCGUGUGGAUGUCAUUGACGGCAUCUGGCUUUGGUUCCCUCAGUUGUCUCCGAUUUGCCUUGUUAUCAUGUAAGUGUUUGUGAAAAGCGAAAAGUCUAACAGUCACUUGCUUUUUAGAGUAGCUGUUGUGGCUGAAGUUGGAGAGACCAGAAAAAGGUAAACCAGCUGAAGAAUAAAAUGAAGUUGAUUGAAUUGGAACCUGUCUCUAUCUGCAGAUGAGAAACCCCAUCUCUCUGGAGGCCACGCUGUGGGUGCGGUUGUCCGUUCGUCCCCCAGGGAUGCCGUUGAAAGCAGCAGCCUCAGGCUUGCGUGGGCUGUCUCUGCCUGGCCUCCCUCUCCUCGCGGCGCGGGAGCGCAGAGGGACAGGCGGAGCGCUUACUGGCUGUGGGCAGGAGCUGCUGAAGCUGGAGAGGCCACAGAAGGGUAAAGCUGCUGAAGAAUAAAAUAAAGAGGAUCCAGCCAGCACCUGCAGACAAGAGACAGCCUGCCUCUCCAGGUGGAUGAUAGUCAAGUGACUGCAGCUACAGAGGAGGAAAGGAGAGGGAGAGAGAGACAGACAUGUCUGAACUGUCAAAUUCUCCCAGCAGCUCCAAGAGCGGGAGGUACAGUGAGUCCUGGACCCCUGGGGCUGUGUCACCCCUCUUCUGCAUCCCAGUCCCUCCCUGCCCCCACCUUCUCUUUCUCUCACUGCUUUAAUUUUUUUGUUUUUUCUUCUUGCACCUCUCCCUCUCUUGUUCUCCAAGUCCCCCUCUUUCUCUGUUGUUCUGCCUCUGUUUUCUUUUUCUCUCUGCACUUCUGUCCUGUCCCAUCCCUCUUUUUUCUUAUCCUCUGUCUCUGCCCUGCAGCCCAUCACUACUUUGUCUUUCUCCAUCUAUCUGUCUGUCUUCUUAUCCCAAUCUUGUUAAUUCCUCCCUGUCUGCCCUUUAGCCCUUCACAAUUCCUGCCGCUCUCACCUGUCUGACGCUGUGUCUCUAUUUUUAAUUUCCUUUCUCUGCCCUGUAUUCUAGAUACACUUUUACUUUCUUAGAUUCUCUUGUUCCAGGUCCCUGUCCCUAUGUUUUAACUUCUUCCCUCACUGUCCCAUAGCCCAUUUUUGUCUUUAUCAUUCUCUCUCUGUCUGGCUCCCUGUCCCUAUUCUUUAUUUCCCCUCUCUCUCCCCUUUAGAUGAUCAAUGUUUUUGAUAUUUCUCAGUCUCUCUCAUCCACCUCACUGUCCCCUUUUUUAAUUCUUCCUUCUGCCCUGUGGCUCAUCACUAAUCUUUGUUUUUCUCCAUCUCUCUGUCUGGUACCCUCUCCCUUUUUAUUAGUUUCUCCUCUCUGUCCUGUAGCCCAUUGCUAUUUCCCUCCCACCCUGCCUCUCUCUGUCUCCCUUUCCCUACUUUUCAAUCCCCCCUCUCUGCCCUGUAGCCAAUCACUGUUGUAGUGAGUUUGUGUGGCAGGCUGGGGCAGGGGAGUGGGCAGGGGCUGCAGGGGUGGGUUCUGUGAGAAGACACCAGGACUUGCCCCCAUGUUGGGCACAGCCAGUUCCAGCUCCAAGAUGGAGCUGCUACUGUGCGGGCGCAUA